GACGAACGCUGGCGGCGUGCCUAAUACAUGCGAGUCGAACGCUGAAGAGAGGAGCUUGCUCUUCUUGGAUGAGUUGCGAACGGGUGAGUAACGCGUAGGUAACCUGCCUUGUAGCGGGGGAUAACUAUUGGAAACGAUAGCUAAUACCGCAUAACAAUGGAUGACACAUGUCAUUUAUUUGAAAGGGGCAAUUGCUCCACUACAAGAUGGACCUGCGUUGUAUUAGCUAGUAGGUGAGGUAAUGGCUCACCUAGGCGACGAUACAUAGCCGACCUGAGAGGGUGAGCGGCCACACUGGGAAUGGGACACGGCCCAGACUCCUACGGGAGGCAGCAGUAGGGAAUCUUCGGCAAUGGGGGCAACCCUGACCGAGCAACGCCGCGUGAGUGAAGAAGGUUUUCGGAUCGUAAAGCUCUGUUGUAAGUCAAGAACGGGUGUGAGAGUGGAAAGUUCACACUGUGACGGUAGCUUACCAGAAAGGGACGGCUAACUACGUG
This 497-nucleotide ribosomal RNA is filed under the name uncultured bacterium. RNAcentral's name for it is "partial 16S ribosomal RNA". It matches the Rfam family "Bacterial small subunit ribosomal RNA", at positions 28 to 507 of the family's 1533-position model. The record is from RNAcentral.